GCCAGGUGUGGUGGUGUGUGCCUGUAGUCCCAGCUACUUGGGAGGCUGAGGCAGGAGGAUUGCUUGAGCUCAGGAGUUCGAGGCUGCAGUGAGUUAUAAUUGCACCACUGUACUUCAGCCAGGGCAACAGAGCAAGACCCUGUCUCAA
Non-coding RNA from Homo sapiens (human), 148 nucleotides. It matches the Rfam family "Metazoan signal recognition particle RNA". From Rfam's summary of the family: The signal recognition particle (SRP) is a universally conserved ribonucleoprotein. It is involved in the co-translational targeting of proteins to membranes. The record is from Rfam. NCBI's taxonomy places the organism in Eukaryota, Metazoa, Chordata, Mammalia, Primates, Hominidae.